GAUAAACGCUGGCGGCGUGCAUGAGACAUGCAAGUCGAACGGACGAUCAGGGCUUGCUCUGAUCGUUAGUGGCGGACGGCUGAGUAACGCGUAGGUGACCUGCCCCGAAGUGGGGAAUAACUGCCCGAAAGGGUGGCUAAUACCGCAUGUGGUGGUGCCUUCAUAGGCACCAGUAAAGCCGCAAGGCGCUUCGGGAGGGGCCUGCGUCCGAUUAGCUCGUGGUGGGGAACGCUCACCAAGGCGACGAUCGGUAGGUGGUCUGAGAGGACGAUCACCCAGACUGGGACUGAGACACGGCCCAGACUCCUACGGGAGGCAGCAGUCGGGAAUUUUGCGCAAUGGACGAAAGUCUGACGCAGCAACGCCGCGUGAGGGAUGAC
Molecule: ribosomal RNA, 380 nt
Filed under: uncultured bacterium
Lineage: Bacteria
Description: bacterial SSU rRNA
Rfam family: Bacterial small subunit ribosomal RNA
Source: RNAcentral